UGAGGAACAUGACCUUCGGCGGGGGAUAGCCGGCCCAACGGCCGGGUAAUACCGCGUACGACCACUUUGGGACAUCCCUAGGUGGUGAAAGCAGCAAUGCGCCGAUGGAGUGCCUCGCGGCCUAUCAGCUAGUUGGUGAGGUAACGGCUCACCAAGGCGACGACGGGUAGCUGGUCUGAGAGGAUGGCCAGCCACAUUGGGACUGAGACACCGGCCCAGACCUCCGUACGGGGAGCAG
RNAcentral lists this ribosomal RNA (238 nucleotides) under uncultured bacterium. RNAcentral's name for it is "partial 16S ribosomal RNA". It matches the Rfam family "Bacterial small subunit ribosomal RNA", at positions 118 to 351 of the family's 1533-position model. The record is from RNAcentral.